ACGCGAGCUGGGUUCAGAACGUCGUGAGACAGUUCGGUCCCUAUCCGUCGCAGGCGUAGGAAAUUUGAGAAGACCUGUCCUUAGUACGAGAGGACCGGGAUGGACGUACCUCUGGUGUACCAGUUGUCCUGCCAAGGGCAUGGCUGGGUAGCUAUGUACGGAAUGGAUAAGCGCUGAAAGCAUCUAAGCGCGAAGCCAACUUCAAGAUAAGAUUUCCCACCGCAAGGGUAAGACCCCAGAAAGACUAUCUGGUUGAUAGGUCGAAGGUGUAAGUUCAGCAAUGUAUUUAGCUUAUCGAUACUAAUAGGUCGAGGACUUGACCAAU
RNAcentral lists this ribosomal RNA (325 nucleotides) under Clostridioides difficile. RNAcentral's name for it is "bacterial LSU rRNA". It matches the Rfam family "Bacterial large subunit ribosomal RNA", at positions 2598 to 2925 of the family's 2925-position model. Lineage: Bacteria; Bacillati; Bacillota; Clostridia; Peptostreptococcales; Peptostreptococcaceae. The record is from RNAcentral.